RNAcentral lists this long non-coding RNA (591 nucleotides) under Sinocyclocheilus grahami. Its description in RNAcentral is "lncRNA (ENSSGRG00000043126.1)". The record is from RNAcentral. Lineage: Eukaryota; Metazoa; Chordata; Actinopteri; Cypriniformes; Cyprinidae.
AUGGCAUUGCAGAGUGCCGGGGAUACCUUGAAUAAACAAUUCAGUCAAGCAGCGACUGACUGCAGGACUCAAGAGCACUAGAAAACUGCACAUGUGGGGAAUAGACGCUGUCAGCCCCAGUCACCUUCAUGUUUUUCUAUUAUUAUUAUUAUUAUUUUUUUUUUUACAACUGAAUUGUUCGUAAAGAGAAAUAAAUACGCGUCUCUGACUGUCCCGAAUGCAGCAUAAUUUUCAACGUGAUUCUGUUUUUUUCACCACCCGAACAGGUCCGUCACCAGCUGACCUUGUGGACAGAAUUUCUGGAUGUGAGCAGUGAAUACACUCACAAACUUGGAGCUUUGAAGUACAAAUCCAGUGCCAUGGAAUCCCACAAGACUGACUGCAUUAUGAUCCUGUACUUACCUUAACAAUGACAAACAUGAUUUUAAACAAAAUUCAUGCUUAGCUCUUGCCUCCUGUAUGGGGCUUGUGAAGCUACAUUAGACCUUUCUUUUACCUAAAAAACAAGGUUUGGAAGCUAAAAACUGCAAGGUGUCUUGGCAGAACGUAACAGAGAACGUUUUUCCCCUCUAUUGUGGUGGCCAACCAUAC